UAACGUUACCGCAGCCACACAUGCUGGUGAGUACCACUUACGUAGCUGUGUAUCUUAACGUCGCUGCCACGUUUAUGUCUCAGGGCGACGUUAUUUUGCUAAGCUAACGGAGCAUAGUUGAUAGUGUACCACUGUUUACGGGUAAGUGUGGGUGUUUUUAGCAGAAUAACUAGCGAGCCGUCAUUCUAGCAAGCAGGCCAAGCUUCAGUAGCACAUCACUGUGCUGGUGGCUCCCAUCGUCCAGGUAGGUGCGAUUUGGUGAAACACAGAAGUAUGUCAAAGUGGCUGAGACUGAAGAUGGCUAUGAUGAUUUCAACACAUUUCUUCAAAAAGUUAUUCAAAAGCUAGAUCUUCCACUUGAGACUGAGCUGCACUUGACAGAUGAAUCAGGGACAGAAGUUGAUGCAGAUGUGUUUGAGGAGCUCUUGCAGGCAGGGAACCUCACUGUUAGGGUGGCAUUGGAAAAGUCAACAGUUGUACUUCAGCAUGAUCUUUCAUAUACUUCGCUGGAGUCACCCAUGUCAGACAACUCAUCUGGGUCAGUGUCAGGAGUGUCCUCGCUAGCAUCCUCUGAUUCAUCAGAUGCAACAGUGAUUGUUCAUACAAACGGAGGGAGGAGAACCCAUGCUGAACGGGAAUCAGCAAAAGAGAUGGUGAGAAAUGCUCUGAAGGCUAAACCAGGAGGAGCCCACCCAUCUCUGUUCGAAGUACAUGUGCUCUAGGCAUCAUCUCUCUAUUUCCCAGCCUCAGAGAUCUAUAGUCGGACAAGGGAUAUGAACACUUCUAUGACCCAGAGAGUGGAUCUGGCUACUUGGCCUGGAGGAUAAAGACUGUUCAGGGCAACACUGCAGCUCAGCCCCAGAGAUGCUCCACAAGCACAACCUAUCAAGAUAGUCCAAAGAGAAAGAGGGAUGUUCUCUGCACUGAUAAGCAGCUGCUUGGUGAGCACUGUCAUGAAGCAAUAUCCUUUUUGAAACAUUCAACUGAUGAAUCAGCCAUCAAAGAGCGAAUGAGGGCCACAUUUCAGUACCGCCAAACACUGGUUCAAGAUCAGCAGUGCUCUUCGACAGUCUUUGACAUCUUCCCACGAUUCCUCGACAUCACUGGCUUGAUUGAACAAGACUUCACCAUGAUGUUUGGAGAGGAAGUGUCGGGCAGAUUUUUGGCAAAAUGGCCUACCUUUUUCAAGCCUAGAAUCCUGGCAGACUGCAAAAAACUGACUUCUAAUGAGCACAUUGAAGAACUCAUGUCAUUGCAGCA
Molecule: long non-coding RNA, 1260 nt
Organism: Amphiprion ocellaris (clown anemonefish)
Lineage: Eukaryota; Metazoa; Chordata; Actinopteri; Pomacentridae
Source: Ensembl